This 492-nucleotide ribosomal RNA is filed under the name uncultured bacterium. RNAcentral describes it as "partial 16S ribosomal RNA". It matches the Rfam family "Bacterial small subunit ribosomal RNA", at positions 29 to 507 of the family's 1533-position model. The record is from RNAcentral.
AGUGAACGCUGGCGGUAGGCCUAACACAUGCAAGUCGAACGGCAGCACAGUAAGAGCUUGCUCUUACGGGUGGCGAGUGGCGGACGGGUGAGGAAUACAUCGGAAUCUACUUUUUCGUGGGGGAUAACGUAGGGAAACUUACGCUAAUACCGCAUACGACCUACGGGUGAAAGCAGGGGAUCUUCGGACCUUGCGCGAUUGAAUGAGCCGAUGUCGGAUUAGCUAGUUGGCGGGGUAAAGGCCCACCAAGGCGACGAUCCGUAGCUGGUCUGAGAGGAUGAUCAGCCACACUGGAACUGAGACACGGUCCAGACUCCUACGGGAGGCAGCAGUGGGGAAUAUUGGACAAUGGGCGCAAGCCUGAUCCAGCCAUACCGCGUGGGUGAAGAAGGCCUUCGGGUUGUAAAGCCCUUUUGCUGGGAAAGAAAAGCAGCAGGUUAAUACCCCGCUGUUCUGACGGUACCCAAAGAAUAAGCACCGGCUAAUUUCGUG